RNAcentral lists this long non-coding RNA (1644 nucleotides) under Homo sapiens (human). RNAcentral's name for it is "HSALNT0270156". Lineage: Eukaryota; Metazoa; Chordata; Mammalia; Primates; Hominidae. The record is from RNAcentral.
UUCUUUUGUUUUUCCAAGAUGAAGGAAAUAAUUUUCUUAGUGUGUGACUUCACAUCUCCCCCCAGCCCCCAGUCUCACGCGUGCACGGCAGUGACGGGUGCAGUGAUGCGGAUCCAAAGCCUCUGUGGAGACUCGGCAUCGCGCACCCACAGAGGAGCCGGCAGCUCCCCUCAUUAGGAGGCUUCCGGGUUAACCCUUUACCCCCAUCUGUCUAAUUGCUUCUCUGUGAAAGGGGCCAGGAGACAGCCUGCGCUGGGAACCAGCCCUGAGUGACAUGCGCUCCGCUUCCUCUGCGGCAGGAGCCUGCUGACAUUUACGGGCGCAGCAGGCUGUGUCUCCCCAAGACGGGCAUGCAGGAGAAUGGUGCUGCAGUUACAAAACACACCUUUUUAUUGUUUUUCUUGUUAGGUGAAUUGAGAAAGAUCAAAUGAGCCAGAGGUGAGCUUGUAGCUGGGACCGUGCUGAGGAGAGGCGUCCUCUUCCUCAGCCAGGGGUCAGUCCAAAGCAAGCAGGACCCAGGAUGUCUGUGGUGGCCGUUCCUGAUCCAAAUCCUGUUUCUAAAGAGCACGAGGAAAGAAUCAGCGGAUACUCUCAGGUCACAACAGCAUCGUCCCAGGAACGUCUUCUCUCUUCUUGGAAAUUUUCAAUGCACAUCAGAGGGUCUGAGAAGUCCUAGAGGGGAGGUGAUCACGGGACCCCCACAAAAUUUCUGCUUUCCUUGGAUGAAAGGCAUUGUUGGAAAUUCAGGGUGUAUCUGUCAGUGCAGGCUGGGUUAGGAGUACCAAACUGCUCCCAGAUCUUGUCACUUGAAAGAGCAGAGCGUGAUGCUGGUCCAUGCACAUGACAUGUCCACUGUGCAUGCGUGGGGGGUGGGGGGGCGCCCUGCCCUGCAGAGUCCUUGGGACAGAGUGGAAGAGGCUUGUUUUUCUGCUUCCACGAUGGCCAGUGCAGAGACUGGCCACAAGGGAUUAGACACAGCCUGGUAAGGCCCCUCCUGGGGGGAUGCACCUGGGUCCUGCUUCCAUUUCAUUGGCCAAGACAAGUCAUGUGGUCGCCUCUAACUUCAGAGGCCUGAGGAGGUGAAAUCCUUCCUCACUUCUGGAAGGAUGAGUGGGCUCUGUGCCAAGGAUAUGUCAACAUGUGUGUAGCAGUGAGUGCUGAUGACGGCGGCUGGCAUGACCAGCACGCUGGGCUAGAGGUCGUCUCUGUUGUUCAUCAGCAGCCCUUCCACAGCAUUGAGAGAUAGUCCUGACUUUCCAACCAUGGCUUCUUUUCUGCAAUAAAUACAAUGUCACUUACAAAGAAAAAAAACCCCAAAGCAGGUCCUGCAUCUAAAGAAGUAAUUUUAAUGGAUACUUCCAAAAUAAUCUGCCAUUUCUUCUUGGCCUGGGGCGUGCUUGUCUGUAUGUUUCUCUGCAAAGGCUUCCUAAAUCUCUGUGCAAUCUCAGUUUGUUCUUUCUCUCACAUUGGACGGUGAGGUGCCUGAAGGUGGAGGUUGUGAGGUUUCUGUCUUCUGUCCUUGAGCAGGAAAGAGCCCAGGGCCCCCACUCUCCAGCACACCCCAUUUCUCUGAAAGGGCCAAUGGAGAGUGUGGGCCAUGGAGCCUCCCACAGCCAGGGAAGGGAUGCCACACAGCGGGCCGGG